AUGGAGGAUGGAAGUCUACUAGAGCAUAGAACAGUGGACGAAAGUGUGCUGGAGCGUAGACUUAACGGAGUCGAGGACCCGAAGGAUCUUCCAUUACCACUGUUGCAGCACAUCACGAAUGAUUUCUCUGAAAAUAGAAAAAUUGGCCAGGGUGGAUUUGGAGCUGUUUACAAGGGUGUACUCCAAAGUGGGAAACAUGUUGCUGUGAAGAGGAUAUAUGUGAAUGAGUACACAAUUGAUGGCAAGGCAUUCCGCCGGGAGUUCAAUAGCCUGGUGAAAACUAAUCAUGAAAAUGUAGUCCGGUUUCUUGGCUUCUGCUCUAAUACACAUCAGACAUCUAUAAAAGUGGCUGCGACAGGAAAAAAUGACUUGGUCAACAUUAAUGAAAGAUUGCUCUGCUUAGAGUACAUUAGCAAUGGAAGUCUUGAUACACAUAUUACUGAUGAAUUAAGGGGACUUCCAUGGGAAACACGUUAUGAGAUAAUCUUCGGAAUUUGUAAGGGUCUGUGUUAUCUUCACGAAGAAAAAGGAAUUGUUCAUAUGGAUCUUAAACCGGCAAACAUAUUACUAGAUGGCAAAAAUAUGGUUCCAAAAAUCACCGAUUUUGAUUUGUCAAGACCGGAUGAAAACUCACAUACUACUGGUCAAUGUGUUGGAACGCAAGGAUAUAUCGCUCCAGAAUACCGGGACGCUAGCAAAACUUCAAUGAAAUGUGACAUAUAUAGUUUGGGGGUCGUAAUCAUUGAAUUGGUAACGGGAUGUAAGGGCCUCCCUGACGAACAUAAGGUACUUCGAAGAUGGAGACAUAGGUGGAGUAAGCCACCAACAAUACUACAACUCCAGCAAGUAACCAGAUGUAUUAAGAUAGGAGUGAGGUGCAGGGAAAAGAAACCAGAGCAUAGGCCACCUAUAUCAGAAAUAAUCAGCUUCCUGGGUGAACCUGCAAGCACCGAUGACCACACUAGCCAGAUAUGCCCUGAUUACAAUGAAGACGACAUGCUUGGGAUUAAGCCGCUUGAACUACGACUUCCUUCUGAGGGAAAGAAGGAGAUAUCAUGCUCAGUUGAACUAACCAACGAUACAGCUAAUUGCAUUGCCUUCAACAUCCAACCCUCAAGACCUCGACUCUAUGGUGCACAACCAAAUAAAGGCAUUGUGAGACCUCAAUCCAAGUAUGGUGUGAAGAUAACAGUGCCGCCACAACAUAUCGAACAUGUUGAAAAGUUCAUCAUUAAGAGCAGAAAAGUGAGUGAGGGCCUUGGAGAUGAGACUAUCAUAGAAUGCAUGUUCGAAGAGGCUGGUAUAGUUGUUGAUGAGGUGGAUUUGAAGAUUAAAUAUAACCCUAUUUUCGAAAAGAGCAAACUGCUUCCGGAGAGAGCAAUAUUUUCACGCCAUUAUCAUACAAAUAUGAAAUACCUACAGGAAGAAAGUGACCAAGCAGUCGAUGUCACAAGGGGAGCUAUGGGCAGCGUGCUUGACAAGUUGGGAAAGCUCAUCACAGAGGAAAACAACCUAGAACAUAACAUGAAGAUUGACAUCGAGUCUUUUUCACAAGAAUUGAUGAAACUUCACCUUGACUUGCCCAAGCUGGAAAAGCAUGAUGGGGUUAAAUUUUGGGUUAAUGAGGUCAAGGAGCUAUCAUAUAAGAUUGAGGAUAUGGUCGACGGCUUGUUGGUGCCUGUCGAGCAUGAAUCUACUAGUAGUGAGCUCUCGGAUGAGGGUCUAGAUCCCUGGCAGUAUGCCAUCAAUCAUAUUGGUCGUGUGAUCAAAGACAUCAAGAACAAAGUUCAGUGUGUGACUGACAAUAGAAAUAUGUACAAUUUUGAUGUCAAUAAUGUUUUAGCUAAUGUAAAAGCUAAAGCGACCACUGGCCUUCAAAUUUGGGCUAAGAAGGAUAAAGAAGAACUAAUUGGCAUUGAAAAACCAAGAGAUGAGCUAAUAAGCCUAUUUGAGGAGGAUGGCAAUGUACCAAACAAUAAGCUCAAGAUAUUCUCUAUCGUCGGUAUGGGAGGAUUGGGUAAGACCACACUUGUGAAGGCUGUGUAUGACAAGCUGGAAGCACAAUACCAUCCUAUGGCUUUUGUCAAGGUGGGCCAGAAUGUUGAUGUGAAGGUAGUUUUGAAGAACAUUCUAACUGGAUGUGGAAAGGAUGCAACAAACAUGGAACAUUUGGAUGUGGAGCAGCUCACCAGUCAACUCCAGCAAUUGCUCAUGUAUGAGAGAUAUUUCAUAGUAAUUGAUGAUCUAUGGGAUUCUGAAACAAUGAAUAAUGAAACUUGGGAUACUAUUAAAUUUGCUUUGCCAGGAAACAACUAUGGUAUUAGAGUGAUCACAACAACAAGGAUUGAUCAUGUUGCUCGUGCCUGUUGCUAUGAUGAAAUGAAAUGUAUUCGUAUGAUGAAUCCACUCAGUGACAAUGACUCAAGAACACUAUUCUUAAGCAGAAUAUUUGGUCCGAAGGAACCUUGCCCAGAUGCACUUAAAGAUAUUUCAAUUCAUAUUCUAAAAAGAUGUGGUGGUUUGCCACUUGCUAUCAAUAGUAUAGCAAAUCUUCUAAUUGGUGAUCAGCGAAGGUCAACCUGGGAUGAUGUAAGGCAAAAUUGGAGUGCUAUGAUGAAAGGAAAUGCUCUUGAAAGGAUGAACCAGAUAUUGGAUCUGAGCUACGUACAUCUCCCUUAUCAGCUGAAGACAUGCCUUCUUUAUGUUGGUAUGUAUCAAAAUAGCAACAAAGAUCUACAUCAUAUGUUGAGGAAAUGGGUUGCAGAAGGUUUCGUAGAAAAGAGUACAAACGAUGAGGUAGAUGAAGAUGUUGCAGAAUUAUACUUGAGGGCACUCAGAGGGAUGUGUAUGUUACAAGUAGAUAAGGUAGGCUACUGCAACGGUGAUGUAUUGCAUUACAGAGUACACCCUAUAAUGCUUGAUCUUAUCAGAGUCAAGGCCGCAAUAGAGAAUUUUAUUCAUGUAAUUGAUGGUUCAAAAAGUAUGGGAGGGGAUAUCCAUCGAGUCUCAGUCCACCACAAUGAUAAAGUGGAUAAGCAAAUUUGGGGAGCAAUCGAGGAAGGGUCGCUAUCGCAUGUUCGGUCAGUCUUUCUUCGUCGAAGCUCACUUGUGCCUUAUUUUCUGGAACUUAAGUAUGUCCGAGUGCUACACAUUGAAUAUAAGUACUCUUCCAUGGAUGGCCUAGAUCUCACCGGCAUCAAUAGGUUGUCUCUCCUAUGGUAUUUGAAGGCCGGAAAUGUCAUACUCAUCGGACGACGAAAACCGCCCGGGGGAGUGCGACUGGUGCCACGACGACCGAGGUAUCUGCGACAGGUUCAUUGUGCUGGACGAAGAUCGGCGCUUCAGCAUUAA
RNAcentral lists this ribosomal RNA (3351 nucleotides) under Triticum aestivum (bread wheat). RNAcentral describes it as "partial small subunit ribosomal RNA". Lineage: Eukaryota; Viridiplantae; Streptophyta; Magnoliopsida; Poales; Poaceae. The record is from RNAcentral.